This is a long non-coding RNA of Megachile rotundata (alfalfa leafcutting bee), 596 nucleotides long. RefSeq lists it as uncharacterized. NCBI's taxonomy places the organism in Eukaryota, Metazoa, Arthropoda, Insecta, Hymenoptera, Megachilidae. The record is from RefSeq and is a predicted model, not a curated record.
CAACUAUAAUCAUUGUCGAUUAAAUUAUUCGAACCCGAACUAUGAAAUCCGCCGAAAUUUUUUUACUAUUGUUACUAUUUUAACGAUCGAAAUAUCGUGUUUUCGUCUACUCAUCGUGUAUCGUUCUGGGUAAAACAUACAUGUAUAUAUAUGCUCGUGCACAUUCGGACGUUGGGACGGCACAAAAUUUAACAUAUGCGUCGAAUUAUUUUUGCACGAAACGCGGGAAAGGCGGAAUGAUACAGUGCUACCAUCUCGCGAGUUCGAACGGAAGCUUCGGUUCGCGAUCGAUUAAAGAAAUUCGAUGACGCAAAACUGCACGAUCUUUGGAAAAGUCCAUUAAUCGAAGAUUGUUCAUCGAUCGAUAAUACUGUAAGAUCGGAAGAUCUAUUCUGAUUAGAAUUAUCCCGUUUAAACUGUAUUUUAUCGACCGAUAUCCUUUAAGAAGCAUCGAACACGGAGCGAAGCUAUGGUUUUAAGAGGAGAGCAACGGUACCGCUCGUGAUCACGAUCACUAUGCCAACUCGGCGUUCAAAUCUCUCGAUCAACUGGCACGCAAUGUUCUCGUAUCCUGGAAUAAACUCGCAUAGAUAUUA